CAGUCGCCGCGGGAAUACGGAGGGUGCAAGCGUUAAUCGGAAUUACUGGGCGUAAAGCGCACGCAGGCGGUCUGACAAGUCAGAUGUGAAAUCCCCGGGCUUAACCUGGGAACUGCAUUUGAAACUGUCAGGCUGGAGUCUUGUAGAGGGGGGUGGAAUUCCAGGUGUAGCGGUGUAAUGCGUAGAGAUCUGGAGGAAUACCGGUGGCGAAGGCGGCCCCCUGGACAAAGACUGACGCUCAGGUGCGAAAGCGUGGGGAGCAAACAGGAUUAGAUACCCGUGUAGUCCCUGUCUCUUAUAC
RNAcentral lists this ribosomal RNA (301 nucleotides) under uncultured bacterium. RNAcentral's name for it is "partial 16S ribosomal RNA". It matches the Rfam family "Bacterial small subunit ribosomal RNA", at positions 509 to 807 of the family's 1533-position model. The record is from RNAcentral.